GUUGUCAGUGAUGUUUUUACACUUAUUUUCGAGUUUAAUUGACCAUGAGAAUACUCUCACAUGCACUACCAUCUGAGACAUC
This is a small nucleolar RNA of Cynoglossus semilaevis (tongue sole), 82 nucleotides long. NCBI's taxonomy places the organism in Eukaryota, Metazoa, Chordata, Actinopteri, Pleuronectiformes, Cynoglossidae. The record is from Ensembl.